RNAcentral lists this ribosomal RNA (468 nucleotides) under uncultured bacterium. RNAcentral describes it as "partial 16S ribosomal RNA". It matches the Rfam family "Bacterial small subunit ribosomal RNA", at positions 28 to 507 of the family's 1533-position model. The record is from RNAcentral.
GACGAACGCUGGCGGCGUGCUUAACACAUGCAAGUCGAACGGAAAGGCCCUGCUUUUGUUGUGUUCUCGAUUGGCGAACGGGUGAGUAACACGUGAGUAACCUGCCCUUUUCUUUGUGAUAACUUCUGGUAACUGGGGCUAAUACCGGAUAUGAUCUCCUGCUGCAUGGUGGUGGUUGGAAAGUUUCGGCGGUUGGGGAUGGACUCGCGGCUUAUCAGCUUGUUGGUGGGGUAGUGGCUUACCAAGGCUUUGACGGGUAGCCGGCCUGAGAGGGUGACCGGCAACAUUGGGACUGAGAUACGGCCCAGACUGCUACGGGAGGCAGCAGUGGGGAAUAUUGCACAAUGGGCGGAAGCCUGAUGCAGCAACGCAGCGUGCGGGAUGACGGCCUUCGGGUUGUAAACCGAUUUCGCAUGUGACGAAGCGUGAGUGACGGUAAUGGGUAAAGAAGCACCGGCUAACUACGUG